GGCCCAACCAAAACCAAGACUCUCUCUCAGUCUCAAAUCUCAAUUCAUUAGUUCCACUUCUUCGUGAGAUUCAUACGCACAAACAGCAACGUUACUCCGCUAGGGUUCAUCAUUCUCUCAGUUCGUGGUUUCAUCGUUUAACGAAGAACCGUCGCCGUCCAUUAUUCAACCACAAAUCACCACCGAUAUUGAUUUUGUGAAGGUGUUGUCGGUAAAUAUUGUUCCUACUCAGCUCGCCGACAACUUCCGGAAUAAGAAGCCUGAGGUUUUACUCUUGGCCGUUAUAAACUUCAUGUUAUCUAUAGCUACUAAUAACUAGCUGUUCAAAUAAAAAGUGAUUUUUAAAAAGUGAUUUUUAAAGCUAUAACUACUGCUAUGAAGAAUCAUUAGUUACUGCUAUGAAGAAAUAAUCAUUUUCUUACACAAGUUUGAAAUCACUUUUUUCAAGCAUUAACAAAUAGGCUCUUUAUCAUGCUAGUCUUGCAUCUGACAGAAAUAAGUUUAAGUUGUUAUAGAGGAAUAUUUGUUUUUAGAAUUAGUUAUUUGUGAUUGGGGCAAGUAUUUUUGAACUACUGUUUUUGCAGCCUCAUUGUUUCUGUUUUAUUUUCUAUUUAUUUUGUACUUUCUUGAUAUUUCAAUAUGAUUAUAAAACUAUUUCAUUGUUCAGUUGUUUGGGUUGUGUGGCAUUAUUAGUUUUGAGUAAGCUAAGCUAUACUUGAUGGUUUGAGUUUUGUGGUAUGGUUCACAUUAGUUCUGGUUUUGUUUUGAAUAGCUUUUAUACUGAUUAUUAUGGCUUGUUUGAAUAUUAUGAGAAUGGUUGGACAUAUCAAGAUAUUACGAUGCUUAGGUGUUGGAUCAUAAGUCACACUUCAUUUUAAUAGUUGUUGCUUUUAAUCCUAGGAUUUAAACCUUUUAAUUAUAAAUUUGAAUUGAGGAAUUCAAUUUUUAUAUCUUCUCCGUUAGAGAAUUCUUACUUCCCCCAAUGUUGAAAACUUUGUUAGUUCAUGUAAAGUUUAUUAUUCUCUUUUCUCAUUUCAUCUAUUUGUAUAGAUAUAUAAAUAUAGAUGAUAUACUUAAAUUUU
Lathyrus oleraceus (garden pea) is the source of this 1082-nucleotide long non-coding RNA. RefSeq lists it as uncharacterized. The transcript has 3 exons. Lineage: Eukaryota; Viridiplantae; Streptophyta; Magnoliopsida; Fabales; Fabaceae. The record is from RefSeq and is a predicted model, not a curated record.